UUGCCUCAGUACGGCGAGUGAAGCGGCAAAAGCUCAAAUUUGAAAUCCUUCGGGAAUUGUAUUUUGAAAAAGAAAGAAAACCCCCAAAAGCUACCUUAAGUCUAUUGGAAAAUGGCGCCACAGAGGGUGAUAGCCCCGUAAAGAUUAGCAAAGGGUAUAUUUUCUCUCUUUAAAGAGUCGAGUUGUUUGGGAAUGCAGCUCUAAGUGGGUGGUAAAUUCCAUCUAAAGCUAAAUAUUGGCGAGAGACCGAUAGCGAACAAGUACAGUGAUGGAAAGAUGAAAAGCACUUUGAAAAGAGAGUGAAAAAGUACGUGAAAUUGUUGAAAGGGAAGGGCUUGCAAGCAGACACAACUUAUGUUGGGCCAGCAUCGGGGAGAGAGGAGGCAAAAAUGGAAAGAAAUGUAGCUUCGGUGUUAUAGUCUUCCCUUAUACCUCCCCCUCUUCCCGAGGCCUGCGUAUCUAGGAUGCUGGCGUAAUGGUUGCAAGUCGCCCGUCUUGAACCCACGGGACAAACAAC
Molecule: ribosomal RNA, 517 nt
Filed under: Metschnikowia sp. GK3-2Y
Lineage: Eukaryota; Fungi; Ascomycota; Pichiomycetes; Serinales; Metschnikowiaceae
Description: eukaryotic LSU rRNA
Rfam family: Eukaryotic large subunit ribosomal RNA
Source: RNAcentral